GCAGAAAAAAAAGAGGCGAAGUUGGAGGUUAGCGCUGAUGUUACACGGUUCGGCUGCAAGUGAAGGCUCACCGUGUACUCGGAAUAAAUGACAAAUAACUGACUUUCGUCUGCUGACUGCCACAAACCACAGACAUUCAGUCCAGACUUCGGCCACGCUGCACAUUCUCCCAGAUGACCUGCAUUUGGAAAUGUCUGACGGAGAAGGGGAAAAGGCUGACGCUGGGCAGAAAGAGAAGAAUCAGGAAAAAACAGAUGAGGGUGAAUAACAGGAUCGCUAGGUGAACAAAGAAGCAUCAGUGAAAAGAUCUGAAGGAGCCAGAAGCACAACAGCACUGCUGGAGUGCUGAUGAAUUCACAGAAGAGCACGACUCACGUCAGAACUGAACAUUUGCAAAAGCCCUUCGACUCACUGCAGAGAGGCUCUGGACGUAGCGGACGGCGUCUCCGAUGGUGAAGAAUAUUACGUUGUUUUCGCCGGUCUCGCCUUCUUUGUUGGGUUCAUAGCCGCCUUUUUCCAGAGUGUCCAGCACCGUGGUAUUACAAUGAGCCAGAACAACCCUGACCCCAAGUUCUCCGUAAUCUUUUCUGACCUCUUUGAGAGCAUUUAACCCAGCGGUAUCUAGGAACAGGACAGCGCUGCAGUCCAUGACGAUGCUGCGUACGCUACGAGGAGCUUCGUUGAGCAUCAAGGGUCGAGCCCCACACACUUGUAGAGAGACUUUUUGAACAAGCUCUGAUUGGCGUAGUAAAUUGGAGCCUCGUACCUGAAGACGGCCACUUCAGGAAGCGUCUCAAGGCCUCGGUAAGAAGACAGGUCCUCGUAGUGCUCCCUGCUUGCAGCUCGGCCCAGCUCCACCACCUGGGCUUGCUGGGUUCGGCCCAAGACGCAGAAGGCUGACACCAAAACCCCAACAAGGAGGCCCAGCUCCGUGUUGACCAGCGCUGAGGUUGCCAUGGUGAUCAGCCAGAUGGAGGUAUCCACGCGAUUGACACGCCACAUGUUGGGAACGUCAGUGAACUUUCGUAGAGCACCACGGAGGUUGACCACGAUGAUGGCAGCCAGCACACACCUGGGCAGAAGACAGACAGUGAAAAGGUGUCACUUUAUUUUAUUUAAAAGGACUGCAGCAGGUAAAUAGGAUUUCACAUUUCGAGAAAACUGGCAAAAAGCACUUGUAACUGUGUAAUUAAGACUUGGAUCCUUUUCUACUAAGAAAGUGGCAAAGGUGGAAAAACAAAUGAGGGUCGAGGUUAAUUAAAGAGAUAAGGAACCAAC
Molecule: long non-coding RNA, 1278 nt
Organism: Betta splendens (Siamese fighting fish)
Lineage: Eukaryota; Metazoa; Chordata; Actinopteri; Anabantiformes; Osphronemidae
Exons: 6
Source: RefSeq, a predicted model, not a curated record